Molecule: ribosomal RNA, 2893 nt
Filed under: human gut metagenome
Description: bacterial LSU rRNA
Rfam family: Bacterial large subunit ribosomal RNA
Source: RNAcentral
ACUAAGCGUACACGGUGGAUGCCCUGGCAGUCAGAGGCGAUGAAGGACGUGCUAAUCUGCGAAAAGCGUCGGUAAGGUGAUAUGAACCGUUACAGCCGGCGAUGUCCGAAUGGGGAAACCCAGUGUGAUUCGUCACACUAUCGUUAACUGAAUACAUAGGUUAACGAGGCGAACCGGGGGAACUGAAACAUCUAAGUACCCCGAGGAAAAGAAAUCAACCGAGAUUCCCCCAGUAGCGGCGAGCGAACGGGGAGCAGCCCAGAGUCUGAAUCAGCUUGUGUGUUAGUGGAACGGUCUGGAAAGUCCGACGGUACAGGGUGAUAGUCCCGUACACCAAAAUGCACAGGUUGUGAACUCGAAGAGUAGGGCGGGACACGUGGUAUCCUGUCUGAAUAUGGGGGGACCAUCCUCCAAGGCUAAAUACUCCUGACUGACCGAUAGUGAACCAGUACCGUGAGGGAAAGGCGAAAAGAACCCCGGCGAGGGGAGUGAAAAAGAACCUGAAACCGUGUACGUACAAGCAGUGGGAGCACCUUCGGGUGUGACUGCGUACCUUUUGUAUAAUGGGUCAGCGACUUAUAUUCUGUAGCAAGGUUAACCGUAUAGGGGAGCCGCAGGGAAACCGAGUCUUAACUGGGCGUUAAGUUGCAGGGUAUAGACCCGAAACCCGGUGAUCUAGCCAUGGGCAGGUUGAAGGUUGGGUAACACUAACUGGAGGACCGAACCGACUAAUGUUGAAAAAUUAGCGGAUGACUUGUGGCUGGGGGUGAAAGGCCAAUCAAACCGGGAGAUAGCUGGUUCUCCCCGAAAGCUAUUUAGGUAGCGCCUCGUGAAUUCAUCUUCGGGGGUAGAGCACUGUUUCGGCUAGGGGGUCAUCCCGACUUACCAACCCGAUGCAAACUACGAAUACCGAAGAAUGUUAUCACGGGAGACACACGGCGGGUGCUAACGUCCGUCGUGAAGAGGGAAACAACCCAGACCGCCAGCUAAGGUCCCAAAGUCACAGUUAAGUGGGAAACGAUGUGGGAAGGCACAGACAGCCAGGAUGUUGGCUUAGAAGCAGCCAUCAUUUAAAGAAAGCGUAAUAGCUCACUGGUCGAGUCGGCCUGCGCGGAAGAUGUAACGGGGCUAAACUGUGCACCGAAGCUGCGGCAGCGACACUAUGUGUUGUUGGGUAGGGGAGCGUUCUGUAAGCCUGCGAAGGUGGCCUGUGAGGGUUGCUGGAGGUAUCAGAAGUGCGAAUGCUGACAUAAGUAACGAUAAUGCGGGUGAAAAGCCCGCACGCCGGAAGACCAAGGGUUCCUGUCCAACGUUAAUCGGGGCAGGGUGAGUCGACCCCUAAGGCGAGGCCGAAAGGCGUAGUCGAUGGGAAACAGGUUAAUAUUCCUGUACUUGGUGUUACUGCGAAGGGGGGACGGAGAAGGCUAUGUUAGCCGGGCGACGGUUGUCCCGGUUUAAGCAUGUAGGCGGAGGUUCCAGGUAAAUCCGGUACCUUUUAACGCUGAGGUGUGAUGACGAGGCACUACGGUGCUGAAGUAACAAAUGCCCUGCUUCCAGGAAAAGCCUCUAAGCAUCAGGUAACAUUAAAUCGUACCCCAAACCGACACAGGUGGUCAGGUAGAGAAUACCAAGGCGCUUGAGAGAACUCGGGUGAAGGAACUAGGCAAAAUGGUGCCGUAACUUCGGGAGAAGGCACGCUGAUAUGUAGGUGAAGCCCCUGCGGGUGGAGCUGAAAUCAGUCGAAGAUACCAGCUGGCUGCAACUGUUUAUUAAAAACACAGCACUGUGCAAACACGAAAGUGGACGUAUACGGUGUGACGCCUGCCCGGUGCCGGAAGGUUAAUUGAUGGGGUUAUCCGUAAGGAGAAGCUCUUGAUCGAAGCCCCGGUAAACGGCGGCCGUAACUAUAACGGUCCUAAGGUAGCGAAAUUCCUUGUCGGGUAAGUUCCGACCUGCACGAAUGGCGUAAUGAUGGCCAGGCUGUCUCCACCCGAGACUCAGUGAAAUUGAACUCGCUGUGAAGAUGCAGUGUACCCGCGGCAAGACGGAAAGACCCCGUGAACCUUUACUAUAGCUUGACACUGAACAUUGAGCCUUGAUGUGUAGGAUAGGUGGGAGGCUUUGAAGCGUGGACGCCAGUCUGCGUGGAGCCAACCUUGAAAUACCACCCUUUAAUGUUUGAUGUUCUAACGUUGGCCCCUGACCGGGGUUGCGGACAGUGUCUGGUGGGUAGUUUGACUGGGGCGGUCUCCUCCCAAAGAGUAACGGAGGAGCACGAAGGUUAGCUAAUCCUGGUCGGACAUCAGGAGGUUAGUGCAAUGGCAUAAGCUAGCUUGACUGCGAGCGUGACGGCGCGAGCAGGUGCGAAAGCAGGUCAUAGUGAUCCGGUGGUUCUGAAUGGAAGGGCCAUCGCUCAACGGAUAAAAGGUACUCCGGGGAUAACAGGCUGAUACCGCCCAAGAGUUCAUAUCGACGGCGGUGUUUGGCACCUCGAUGUCGGCUCAUCACAUCCUGGGGCUGAAGUAGGUCCCAAGGGUAUGGCUGUUCGCCAUUUAAAGUGGUACGCGAGCUGGGUUUAGAACGUCGUGAGACAGUUCGGUCCCUAUCUGCCGUGGGCGCUGGAGAAUUGAGGGGGGCUGCUCCUAGUACGAGAGGACCGGAGUGGACGCAUCACUGGUGUUCGGGUUGUCAUGCCAAUGGCAUUGCCCGGUAGCUAAAUGCGGAAGAGAUAAGUGCUGAAAGCAUCUAAGCACGAAACUUGCCCCGAGAUGAGUUCUCCCUGAGACUUUAAGUCUCCUGAAGGAACGUUAAAGACGAUGACGUUGAUAGGUCGGGUGUGUAAGCGUAGCGAUACGUUGAGCUAACCGAUACUAAUGAACCGUGAGGCUUAACC